This 533-nucleotide ribosomal RNA is filed under the name Bifidobacterium longum subsp. suillum. RNAcentral's name for it is "bacterial SSU rRNA". It matches the Rfam family "Bacterial small subunit ribosomal RNA", at positions 158 to 706 of the family's 1533-position model. The record is from RNAcentral. Lineage: Bacteria; Bacillati; Actinomycetota; Actinomycetes; Bifidobacteriales; Bifidobacteriaceae.
GGGUGGUAAUGCCGGAUGCUCCAGUUGAUCGCAUGGUCUUCUGGGAAAGCUUUCGCGGUAUGGGAUGGGGUCGCGUCCUAUCAGCUUGACGGCGGGGUAACGGCCCACCGUGGCUUCGACGGGUAGCCGGCCUGAGAGGGCGACCGGCCACAUUGGGACUGAGAUACGGCCCAGACUCCUACGGGAGGCAGCAGUGGGGAAUAUUGCACAAUGGGCGCAAGCCUGAUGCAGCGACGCCGCGUGAGGGAUGGAGGCCUUCGGGUUGUAAACCUCUUUUAUCGGGGAGCAAGCGAGAGUGAGUUUACCCGUUGAAUAAGCACCGGCUAACUACGUGCCAGCAGCCGCGGUAAUACGUAGGGUGCAAGCGUUAUCCGGAAUUAUUGGGCGUAAAGGGCUCGUAGGCGGUUCGUCGCGUCCGGUGUGAAAGUCCAUCGCUUAACGGUGGAUCCGCGCCGGGUACGGGCGGGCUUGAGUGCGGUAGGGGAGACUGGAAUUCCCGGUGUAACGGUGGAAUGUGUAGAUAUCGGGAAAGA